Molecule: long non-coding RNA, 246 nt
Filed under: Elaeis guineensis (African oil palm)
Lineage: Eukaryota; Viridiplantae; Streptophyta; Magnoliopsida; Arecales; Arecaceae
Description: long non-coding RNA (EGUI_LNC070665)
Source: RNAcentral
UGAGCCUCUUCAAAUUUCUGGCUAAACUCAUCGUUCAUGGAGGCCCGCAUAAUGUAAUGAACUAAGGUGCAGUCGUCGAGCUACUUUAAAUAAGUAUCUUGGAUCGUACCUCAAGCAUUAAGAGUAGGCUCCUCAGGUGCUGGAUCCAUAAUCACUUAUAGGAUCCGCUUGUGCUACAGGACAAUCUUUAGCUUUCGAUAUCAAUUAUCAAAAUUUGGUCUGGUUAGCUUCUCACUAUCCAACGGU